AAUGCCAUAAAAAUGCAUCUNUGACGUGGUUGAAAUCUUGUCUGCAGAAAACAAAAAACUGAAACAAGCGGUAUCAGUGACUGUGUGUUUGAUGUGGCUCUUUGCAGUAACAUAGAAAAAA
Notothenia coriiceps (black rockcod) is the source of this 121-nucleotide long non-coding RNA. RefSeq lists it as uncharacterized. Lineage: Eukaryota; Metazoa; Chordata; Actinopteri; Perciformes; Nototheniidae. The transcript is spliced from 3 exons. The record is from RefSeq and is a predicted model, not a curated record.